CUUGUACACACCGCCCGUCACACCAUGGAAGUUGGUUCUACCUUAAGCCAGUCCGCCAACCGCAAGGGGGCAGCUGACCACGGUAGGGUCAAUGACUGGGGUG
RNAcentral lists this ribosomal RNA (103 nucleotides) under uncultured bacterium. RNAcentral describes it as "partial 16S ribosomal RNA". It matches the Rfam family "Bacterial small subunit ribosomal RNA", at positions 1380 to 1482 of the family's 1533-position model. The record is from RNAcentral.